RNAcentral lists this long non-coding RNA (281 nucleotides) under Lepisosteus oculatus (spotted gar). RNAcentral's name for it is "lncRNA (ENSLOCG00000022319.1)". The record is from RNAcentral. Lineage: Eukaryota; Metazoa; Chordata; Actinopteri; Semionotiformes; Lepisosteidae.
UGUUAAAGAUUCAGCUUUUGGCGGAAGUCCUGGAUGGACGUGCAGAAAUGUCCUUGAUAGAUUUAAAGGGUGGAAGGAUUUGAACCAGGAACUGAGCACCUGCUCUGUUUCUUACUACAGCUUAGUGCAAAUGAUUGGAAGGAAUGCUACCUUAGACUUCUACUUCAGCACAUUCCAGGAACACUUGCUGUUGGCAUUGGCAUUCGAUGUCUCUGAUACUAUAGGCUACGCCAUAAAAGAAGUCAGUAUUGGUUAACAUUGGAACCAGUCAUCAGAAGAAU